Molecule: ribosomal RNA, 462 nt
Filed under: uncultured bacterium
Lineage: Bacteria
Description: SSU rRNA
Rfam family: Bacterial small subunit ribosomal RNA
Source: RNAcentral
AGAAUCAACGCUGGCGGCGUGCCUAACACAUGCAAGUCGAACGAGAAAGUGGGAGCAAUCCCAUGAGUAAAGUGGCGCACGGGUGAGUAACACGUGACUAACCUACCCUUGAGUGGGGGAUAACCUAGGGAAACCUGGGCUAAUACCGCAUAAUACCUACGGGUCAAAGGAGCAAUUCGCUUUAGGAGGGGGUCGCGGCAGAUUAGUUAGUUGGCGGGGUAAUGGCCCACCAAGACAGUGAUCUGUAUCCGGCCUGAGAGGGCGCACGGACACACUGGAACUGAAACACGGUCCAGACUCCUACGGGAGGCAGCAGUGGGGAAUUUUGCGCAAUGGGGGAAACCCUGACGCAGCAACGCCGCGUGGAGGAUGAAGCCCCUUGGGGCGUAAACUCCUUUCGAUCGGGAAGAUAAUGACGGUACCGGAAGAAGAAGCCCCGGCUAACUUCGCGCCAGCAGCCGC